GGUGAAGGAUGAGCCCGCGGCCUAUCAGCUUGUUGGUGGGGUGAUGGCCUACCAAGGCGACGACGGGUAGCCGGCCUGAGAGGGCGACCGGCCACACUGGGACUGAGACACGGCCCAGACUCCUACGGGAGGCAGCAGUGGGGAAUAUUGCACAAUGGGCGAAAGCCUGAUGCAGCGACGCCGCGUGAGGGAUGACGGCCUUCGGGUUGUAAACCUCUUUCAGCAGGGAAGAAGCGAAAGUGACGGUACCUGCAGAAGAAGCGCCGGCUAACUACGUGCCAGCAGCCGCGGUAAUACGUAGGGCGCAAGCGUUGUCCGGAAUUAUUGGGCGUAAAGAGCUCGUAGGCGGCUUGUCACGUCGGAUGUGAAAGCCCGGGGCUUAACCCCGGGUCUGCAUUCGAUACGGGCUAGCUAGAGUGUGGUAGGGGAGAUCGGAAUUCCUGGUGUAGCGGUGAAAUGCGCAGAUAUCAGGAGGAACACCGGUGGCGAAGGCGGAUCUCUGGGCCAUUACUGACGCUGAGGAGCGAAAGCGUGGGGAGCGAACAGGAUUAGAUACCCUGGUAGUCCACGCCGUAAACGUUGGGAACUAGGUGUUGGCGACAUUCCACGUCGUCGGUGCCGCAGCUAACGC
Molecule: ribosomal RNA, 631 nt
Filed under: Streptomyces sp.
Lineage: Bacteria; Bacillati; Actinomycetota; Actinomycetes; Kitasatosporales; Streptomycetaceae
Description: bacterial SSU rRNA
Rfam family: Bacterial small subunit ribosomal RNA
Source: RNAcentral